RNAcentral lists this long non-coding RNA (6464 nucleotides) under Sus scrofa (pig). RNAcentral describes it as "lncRNA (ENSSSCG00000052773.1)". Lineage: Eukaryota; Metazoa; Chordata; Mammalia; Artiodactyla; Suidae. The record is from RNAcentral.
CCAUGGCAUAUGGAGGUUCCAAGGCUAGGGUCCAAUCGGAACUGUAGCUGCCGGCCUACACCACAGCCACAGCAACGCAGAAUCCAAGCUGCAUCUGCGACCUACACUACAGCUCACAGCAAUGCCGGAUCCUUAACCCACUGAACAAGGCCAGGGAUCGAACCUGCAACCUCAUGGUUCCUAGUCAGAUUCGUUAACCGCUGCGCCACGACAGGAACUCCAAUUUUAUUCAUAAUCUGAAAUUCCUCUUAAACAUAUUCAUUUAUUCACUUUUUUUUUUUUUUUUUUGUCUUUUUAGGGCCUCCCCCACAGCAUAUGGACAUUCCCAGGUUAGGGGUUGAAUCGGAGCUACAGCUGCUGGCCUACACCACAGCCACAGCAACACCAGUGUGAGCCACAUCUGCGAACUACACCACAGCUCAUGGCAACCCUGGAUCCUUAGUCCACUGGGCAAAGCCAGGGAUCAAACCUGUGUCCUCAUGGAUUCUAGUCAGAUUUGUUUCCACUGAGCCAUGACAGGAACUCCCCAAUAUUCUUAUAUAUAUACCUAGUAGGACUAAAACGUGGUUCAUCCACUUUCAAAGGCAAUUCAGCAGCAUUUAUUAGAUUUUUUAAUGUGCCCACCAUAGACCCCACUUCUCACUCCACUUCUCACUUCUUUUACAUUUUUAGAAAAACACUGGACAAACGGACAUGGCCAAGGGGUACAGCUUUGUUUAUGUUAGCAAAGAAUUGGAAACCACCUAAGGGUCACUAAUUCAGAAAUAGUUAAAGAAGUUAUGAGACAGCCAUGGCAUGCUGUGCGGCAGUAAACAAAUGAUGAAAUACAUUUAUAAUUCAAUAAUACAUGAUUCUGCAAGACACUACGCAGUUUAAAUAAAAGAGACAAGUUGCCAAAUGAUAGACACAGUACAAAACACUUUUUUGUUACUUAAAAAUUAUGUUUCUCUAGGUUAAUAUAUUUGUAAGUACAUGUAAAGCAAAACAUCUAAAAAGAUACACACCAAAGCAAUGAUAAGGGCACAUGUGGCUUGAAGGCUGUGGUUCUGGAGCCUUUAUUUUUAUCUAUAUUGUUUGAAUAUUUAAAAGAAUCCAUUCAUAUACUACUUGUACUAUUUUGAACGACUUUUUACAAUUUAAUAAGGUUUAAAAAAGAAUUGCAAUUUUUAAAAAAGUGCCAAAAUAGAGAUAUGAACAAGGUACCAAAAGAAGGUGAAAAUAAUCUAUUCUAUGAUGUUUUCCAUCCCCUAAACAUACCUUUAUUCCUUUUUAACAAAAUAACUUAUAGGAGUUCCCUGCUGGCUCAGUGGGCUAAGGAUUUGGCUUUGUCAUCACUAUGACUCCAGUUGCUGCUGUGGCGCAGGUUCAAUCCCUGGUCCCAGAACUUCUACAUGCCAUAGGCGUGGCCCCCCUCAAAAAUUGUUUUUAAAUUAUAUAUCUCAGAAUUCCCACUGUGGUACAGUGGGUUAAGGAUCCAGUGUUUUCUCUGCAAUAACGUGGGUUCUGUCCCCAGCCCCGCAGAGUGGGUUAAGGAUCUAGUGUUGCCACAGCUAUGGCAGAGAUUGCAGCUGCAGCUUGGAUUCAGUCCCUGGCCUGAGAACUUGCAUAUGCCACAGGUCUGGCCCAAAAUAAAUAAAUGAAAUAAAUUCUCCAUCUCAACUUUAGAAUGCUCACUAAUUUUCAGAAGUUAGAAUGAAAAUUAUGAAGUAUCAGGUUGAUUAGUUAUUCCUGCCAGUGGCUCUCUGCAGUGUCAGCAAUGUAAGUCUUACCUAAGAAGUGAGGAAAUGGGAACGGGAAAUGAAUGCCCUGCCCAGGAUCACUCAAUAGUCUCAAUACUCAAUGGCAAGAAUGGAAUUUCUAAUCCAAAGGACCCACUGAAAUUGAUCCUGUGUUCAAAUCAGAAGUCAGAUAACAGUAGGUGAUGGUUUAGAGGCAUCUCCUAUUAAGAAACCAGAAAAUAUGGCUGGCCUCACCCAUUAGAUGUCUUUACAGGGCCAUGAGUCUCAUGCUUAUAGGACAACCAGGACAUUUUGGUCCUUCCUCCACAGCAAAGAAACAGCAAGAGGCCCUAAGCACAUUCUGAGCCUGAUUCUCCAAGGUUACUCUUCUGCUACACAUCAAAUGUGAAGUCAGCCUCUACACAGUGUGAAUCACUGCCUUAGAGGGGUCCCUUUAUGUGGCCAUAUGUCUCAAGCUAGAAGAAGACCCACUGAUUUGAAUGAAUCUCCUAGCACAUUUUUCGUGAUAAAGUAAAAAUUCCAUUUUAUUCCUCACUCAGCUCCACAAGUAAAAAGUACCUAGAAAUGUUUGCACAUGCCACACAUAAAUUCAUGGAUAAAGCUGAAGCUCCUGUCAGCCCUCAUUUAUUCGCAACAGGUGAGUCAGAAGCACAUGCUGGCAAGAUGUGAUGCUGAGUAACUUGGCUUUUUUUCUCCCUGAUGUAACUGAGACCUGUAAUGUUAUUUGAUGCAGUUUUCUGUAUUUAAUUAAUUUAACAUUCCAGAUUUUUAAUUUGCAUUUAAUUUAACAUUUCAGGUUUUUAAUUUACCAGAUAUUGUUUAUCAAAUAUUCAUUUCAGAGACUUUCUCCGUAUAUACAGUGCAUUCCCCCCUUUAAUUAGUGUGUGGUAAAUUAAUUCUUCUAUCCUUGCUUCUUCAUCAGAUAUUGGAUUAAGGAAGUUGCGCUGUUUCAACACAGCACAUAAACUCGUUUAUUAAACCAAGAUGGUAAAUUUCCCCAUGUACGUGCAUUGCUAGUCUGCUUUCAUGCUUAACCUGAUAAAAACUGUUACGAUUGAAACCAGAAAUCUGUUAUUAUUUAAAACCUGCUGCUUGGCUUGACAACGAGAGUGUUAAAUUUUGUAUACAAUCCAAUUAUUGGAUCCAGUUUUGCUCUUUUCUUGCUCCUAGAACUGUAACUCAGCCACCUCCCCCCUGAGGCUUUUUCUUCUGUCUCCCUUCAUUCAUGUUCCCAACCUCUCCCUCCCUGGGAUACUUGUCAAAAUGAGAUGACACUCAUCAAAGCUCUCUGUUCACUCUUCUCUUAUGAUUCAGGCUAUCCCAAUUUAUAAACUUACCAUCUCAUCCUUAAGUUUUACACCUUACUUUUCUGUUACCUCCUCCCUACCUCCUAGCAAAUAAUAACCAGUUCUCAAAGUGAUACUAUAUUUAAAUUCCAUUGGUAGAGACCAUUGUGGAAGGAGGGAGUCUUAGCUCUCCUAUUUGAGAACAUUUUCUUCUCAACUCUUUAUCCCAAACAAGCCUACCUAGUGUAAUGCCUUACACAAAUAGGCACACAGUAAAUGUUUGUCGGAUGUUUGGAGAGAGGCUAGAUAAGUAGAUGGUUAGAUGGAUGGAGGCAUGGAUACAUAGCAAGAUGUCUACUGGGUACCUAGUACCAAGCUAGCUCUUUAAACUAGGUUUUCUCAUAUAAAUAUUUCUCAUAAGGAGGAAGUAUCCCCAUUUAACUGAUGAGCACGCUGACACCCAGCAGUUUAAAUAAGGGUUUGCUCAUGAUCUCAUGGCUGACAAGGAGCCGAGCCUAAAUCUGAUCUUCCUGUACUUAUUGCACCUGGCCAGGUCUGGCUAUGUCAUUUGAUAGAACUGCUAUCAUCUGAGUGUGCCUCCCUUCCCCCCAAAUUCAUAUAUUGAAAUCCUAAUGUCUGAUGUGAUGCUAUCAGGAGGUAAAAAUUUUGGUUGGGGGUUAGGUCAUGAGAGCAUUCUUAAUCCAUGAAUGAGAUUAGUGCCCUUGUAAGAGAGACCCUAGGAGACCCCUCACCCCUUCCACCACAUAAGGAUACAAUAAGUCUCCACCCCAAAAGAGAGCCCUCACCUUUCUGAUCUCAGACUUCUAGCCUCUAGACCUGUGAGAAAUACGUUUCCGUUGCUUCUAAGCUACCAAGUCUAUUGUAUUUUGCCACAGCAGCCCAAACAGAUUAAGACAGGAGUCCAAUGCAAAAUUAAAAUGUGGACCCCUUGUUUGGAAAUUAUUAACAAUUUCAAGACAGUGACAGCAGAGCAUUAAACCUAAUGUGGGGCUCUUUGAAGCAUAGAGUCUGUGGGGCUUCACAGGUCACACACUCACACAGACAGCCCUGUACCUGGGGCUGAACCAGUCAUUACCCAUGUUCCAGCUCCUCACUCCCAGGCUGCCAUCCAGCCUGUCAGAGGCUGAGAAACCCACCAGCCUCACCACAUCUACAGACAGGGAAUUUGAACCUUGUUCAGAUACUUGUGAUAAUAAGUUAAAUAUACCUCCCAGGAGUUCCUGCUGUGGUGCAAUGGAUUAAGAUCCCAGAUGCAGCAGCUCAGGUCACUGCCGAGGAGAUGGUUCAAUCCCUAGCCUGAGGCAGUAGGUUAAAGGAUCCAGCAUUGCCACAACUGCAGCAUAGGUCACAGCUGUGGCUCGGAUUCAAUGCCUGGCCCAGGAACUUCCAUAAGCCAAGAGUGAAGCCAUAAAAAUAAUAAUAAUGAUAAUAAUAAUAAAUUAGAUAUACCUCCUAAAAUAGAUUGGGAAGGAGUUCCCUGGUGACUAGUGGUUUAAGGAUCAGGCAUUGUCACUGCUGUGGCUCUGGUUACUGCUGUAGUGUGAGUUUGAUCCCUGGCCCAGAAACUUCCAUAUGCCUUGGGCAUGGCCAAGAAACAAAAUAGACUGGGAAUGACAAUGAACAAAACACUUCAAAAUAUGUUUCUAUAGCAUUCAGCAUGUCUUCACCACCAACAUCACCCCAUUACCCCAACCAGGGAUAGUGAUGGGAGCUAGGGAAAUAGUAUAUGCUUUGCUCUGCGAUUCCUCACUGACAAACCAAAUAAAACAAACUCUCUAAGAAUAGGUAUCCUGAACUUGCUACUCUGCUGAAACAGAUUAAAUACAUUGGCAGGUAAGGAAAAGCCAGAUGCAGCAUGAGAAGCAUAAGGAGUGAAGGGGUAACAGUCCAGUAUUUGAGCUCCUGAGAGCUGGAGCUGAUGGUGUGCCCUGGAAAGGAUUCUCUCUCUGAAUCUCUACCAGGCAAUAUCAGGGCCAGUUUGGUGUGAUCCAAGCCUAAGAAGUCCUAGUGUGAAGCUCAACACGUUAUAGGCCACAAGCUAAAUGACUGCUCCUCCCACCCCUAUAAGCCAUCUCACUCUGGCUACUAUUCUUUUCAAAGGAAAGAUAAUGACAUGUUGAUGGCUACUUAAAGAAAUCCUUAAGACACCAAUUUCAGAGGUGGUGGCCAUUGAUAAACUAUCACAAAACAGGAACAAGAAAGUCUUUGAGAUCUGUGGAACAGCACAAAGUGGUGAUGGCAACCCUGCUUGUGACCUAGGAGAGCGUGUUAAAAGGACAACAAAUAAUAAAACCAGCACUGAGGUCAUUCAAGAUGAGACAAUGCACCAAAUUAUAGGCAAACACUUACUCUUCGACUAUUGAAGGCCAAGUUUUGGUGUCCUUGAGGGCAGGGCUCACGUCUGCCUUGAUCCUUGAAGAAUCCCCAAGAUCUCACAAAUAUGAUGCCAAGAUCUCCCAGAUGCUCAAUAUCUGGGAGAACAGAAGGAUAGGAAGAUGUUACAAGAGGAACGAUGAGACAAGGUGAGAAGGCACAACUGCAAGUGUCCUUCCUUUGUCAUUUUUAUUUAUCUCCAAAAGUAGAUGAUGCCAUCUGUAUAAAUUCUUCGUUGAGUUGUAUUUUUUUCUCUUUUUUUUUUUUUUUUUUUUUUUGUCUUUUUGCCUUUUCUAGGGUCGCUCCUGUGGCAUAUGGAGGUUUCCAGGCUAGGGGUCUAAUGGGAGCUGUUGCUGCCUGUCUACACAACAGCCACAGCAAUGCCGGAUCUUUAACCCACUGAGCAAGGCCAGGGAUCAAACCCGCAACCUCGUGGUUCCUAGUCAGAUUCGUUAACCACUGAGCCACAAUGGGAACUCCUGCUGAGUUAGACUUUAAUGAUUUAUACGUAUCACAUUUAACUUCAUCUCUUAGGAACUUGGGUGCCAUGGCUGUCACCUAAAGUCCAGAACUGGUGUCAGCAUUUGACUGUCCCUUUAUCAUUUACUUCUGGCCAUCUGAAUAGUUGCAGUGUUCCUGGCACUGUUAUCCCUGUUGGAUAACAAUGCUGGUACCUGGGGGAUUGUCAGCCAGGAGAUGCUGACUGUCUGUCAUUUGCUGUGAGGCAUUCUUUUUUAAAUAAGCUUUUCAUUUUGGAUUAAUCUCAAAUCUCCAGAAAAGUGACAAAAACAGUAGAGGGGUCUCACAUAUUUCUUACAUGGUUUCCCAUAACGUUAACAUCUUGCAUAACUAUGAUAGCAUUCUUAAAACCAGGACAUUAACACUGGUACAUGAUUGUUAAUGAAAAUCCAGAAUUUAUUCCCAUUUUGCCAGCUGUUCCACUAAUGUCCUUUUAAAAAAAACUAAUAGACUUUUUUUUUUGAUACACUUUUAGAUUUACACAAAAAUUCAGCAGGUAGUACAGGUCUUACAUACCCAUCCCAUU